This 495-nucleotide ribosomal RNA is filed under the name uncultured bacterium. Its description in RNAcentral is "SSU rRNA". It matches the Rfam family "Bacterial small subunit ribosomal RNA", at positions 26 to 518 of the family's 1533-position model. The record is from RNAcentral.
AGAUUGAACGCUGGCGGCGUGCUUAACACAUGCAAGUCGAGCGGUAACGCGGGAGCAAUCCUGGCGACGAGUGGCGAACGGGUGAGUAAUGCUUGGGAAUCUGCCCAUUAGUGGGGAACAACCAGCCGAAAGGUUGGCUAAUACCGCAUACGCCCUACGGGGGAAAGCGGGGGAUCGUAAGACCUCGCGCUAAUGGAUGAGCCCAAGUCGGAUUAGCUUGUUGGUAGGGUAACGGCCUACCAAGGCGACAAUCCGUAGCUGGUCUGAGAGGACGACCAGCCACACUGGGACUGAGACACGGCCCAGACUCCUACGGGAGGCAGCAGUGGGGAAUAUUGGACAAUGGGGGCAACCCUGAUCCAGCGACGCCGCGUGUGUGAAGAAGGCCUGCGGGUUGUAAAGCACUUUUAGUGGGGAUGAAAAGCUCAGGGUUAACACCUCUGGGUCUUGACCUAACCACAGAAAAGCACCGGCUAACUCUGCGCCAGCAGCCGC